AGGACGAACGCUGGCGGCGUGCUUAACACAUGCAAGUCGAACGGUAAGGCCCCUUCGGGGGUACACGAGUGGCGAACGGGUGAGUAACACGUGGGUAAUCUGCCCUGCACUUCGGGAUAAGCCUGGGAAACUGGGUCUAAUACCGGAUAUGAACUCCUGCCGCAUGGUGGGGGUUGGAAAGUUUUUCGGUGCAGGAUGAGCCCGCGGCCUAUCAGCUUGUUGGUGGGGUAAUGGCCUACCAAGGCGACGACGGGUAGCCGGCCUGAGAGGGGUGAGUCGGCCGACACUGGGACUGAGACACGGCCCAGACUCCUACGGGAGGCAGCAGUGGGGAAUAUUGCACAAUGGGCAAAGCCUGAUGCAGCGACGCCGCGUGGGGAUGGACGGUCUUCGGAUUGUAAACCCCUUUCAGUAGGGACGAAGCGCAAGUGACGUACCUGCAGAACGAAGCACCGGCUAAACCUACGUGACCAGCCAAGCCGC
This 483-nucleotide ribosomal RNA is filed under the name uncultured soil bacterium. RNAcentral's name for it is "bacterial SSU rRNA". It matches the Rfam family "Bacterial small subunit ribosomal RNA", at positions 26 to 518 of the family's 1533-position model. The record is from RNAcentral.